RNAcentral lists this ribosomal RNA (409 nucleotides) under uncultured bacterium. Its description in RNAcentral is "bacterial SSU rRNA". It matches the Rfam family "Bacterial small subunit ribosomal RNA", at positions 350 to 751 of the family's 1533-position model. The record is from RNAcentral.
AGCAGUGGGGAAUUUUGGACAAUGGGCGAAAGCCUGAUCCAGCAAUGCCGCGUGCAGGAUGAAGGCCUUCGGGUUGUAAACUGCUUUUGUACGGAACGAAACGGUUCUUUCUAAUAAAGAGGGCUAAUGACGGUACCGUAAGAAUAAGCACCGGCUAACUACGUGCCAGCAGCCGCGGUAAUACGUAGGGUGCAAGCGUUAAUCGGAAUUACUGGGCGUAAAGCGUGCGCAGGCGGUUAUGUAAGACAGUUGUGAAAUCCCCGGGCUCAACCUGGGAAUUGCAUCUGUGACUGCAUAGCUAGAGUACGGUAGAGGGGGAUGGAAUUCCGCGUGUAGCAGUGAAAUGCGUAGAUAUGCGGAGGAACACCGAUGGCGAAAGCAAUCCCCUGGACCUGUACUGACGCUCAUG